This 497-nucleotide ribosomal RNA is filed under the name uncultured bacterium. Its description in RNAcentral is "partial 16S ribosomal RNA". It matches the Rfam family "Bacterial small subunit ribosomal RNA", at positions 28 to 507 of the family's 1533-position model. The record is from RNAcentral.
GAUGAACGCUGGCGGCGUGCCUAAUACAUGCAAGUCGAGCGAACAGACGAGGAGCUUGCUCCUCUGACGUUAGCGGCGGACGGGUGAGUAACACGUGGAUAACCUACCUAUAAGACUGGGAUAACUUCGGGAAACCGGAGCUAAUACCGGAUAAUAUAUUGAACCGCAUGGUUCAAUAGUGAAAGACGGUUUUGCUGUCACUUAUAGAUGGAUCCGCGCCGCAUUAGCUAGUUGGUAAGGUAACGGCUUACCAAGGCGACGAUGCGUAGCCGACCUGAGAGGGUGAUCGGCCAAACUGGAACUGAGAAACGGUCCAGACUCCUACGGGAGGCAGCAGUAGGGAAUCUUCCGCAAUGGGCGAAAGCCUGACGGAGCAACGCCGCGUGAGUGAUGAAGGUCUUCGGAUCGUAAAACUCUGUUAUUAGGGAAGAACAAAUGUGUAAGUAACUAUGCACGUCUUGACGGUACCAAAUCAGAAAGCCACGGCUAACUACGUG